RNAcentral lists this ribosomal RNA (237 nucleotides) under uncultured bacterium. RNAcentral's name for it is "partial 16S ribosomal RNA". It matches the Rfam family "Bacterial small subunit ribosomal RNA", at positions 540 to 776 of the family's 1533-position model. The record is from RNAcentral.
GUUGUUCGGAGUUACUGGGCGUAAAGGGUGCGUAGGCGGCUGUUUAAGUUUGGCGUGAAAUCUCCCGGCUCAACUGGGAGGGCGCGCCGAAUACUGUAUGACUAGAGUGCGGGAGAGGAUAGUGGAAUUCCUGGUGUAGCGGUGAAAUGCGUAGAUAUCAGGAGGAACACCGGUGGUGUAGACGGCUAUCUGGACCGUAACUGACGCUGAGGCACGAAAGCGUGGGUAGCAAACAGG